RNAcentral lists this ribosomal RNA (254 nucleotides) under uncultured bacterium. RNAcentral's name for it is "partial 16S ribosomal RNA". It matches the Rfam family "Bacterial small subunit ribosomal RNA", at positions 524 to 776 of the family's 1533-position model. The record is from RNAcentral.
UACGGGGGGAGCAAGCGUUGUUCGGAUUUACUGGGCGUAAAGGGCGCGUAGGCGGCCACCGCAAGUCAGUUGUGAAAUCUCUGGGCUUAACCCAGAAAGGUCAACUGAUACUGCGGGGCUAGAGUGCAGAAGGGGCAUCUGGAAUUCUCGGUGUAGCGGUGAAAUGCGUAGAUAUCGAGAGGAACACCUGCGGCGAAGGCGGGUUGCUGGGCUGACACUGACGCUGAAGCGCGAAAGCUAGGGGAGCGAAUGGG